RNAcentral lists this ribosomal RNA (253 nucleotides) under uncultured bacterium. Its description in RNAcentral is "partial 16S ribosomal RNA". It matches the Rfam family "Bacterial small subunit ribosomal RNA", at positions 524 to 776 of the family's 1533-position model. The record is from RNAcentral.
UACGGAGGGGGCUAGCGUUGUUCGGAAUUACUGGGCGUAAAGCGCACGUAGGCGGCUUUGUAAGUUAGAGGUGAAAGCCCGGGGCUCAACUCCGGAAUUGCCUUUAAGACUGCAUCGCUAGAACGUCGGAGAGGUAAGUGGAAUUCCGAGUGUAGAGGUGAAAUUCGUAGAUAUUCGGAAGAACACCAGUGGCGAAGGCGACUUACUGGACGACUGUUGACGCUGAGGUGCGAAAGCGUGGGGAGCACACAGG